GACGAACGCUGGCGGCGUGCUUAACACAUGCAAGUCGAACGGAAAGGCCCUGCUUUUGUGGGGUGCUCGAGUGGCGAACGGGUGAGUAACACGUGAGUAACCUGCCCUUGACUUUGGGAUAACUUCAGGAAACUGGGGCUAAUACCGGAUAGGAGCUCCUGCUGCAUGGUGGGGGUUGGAAAGUUUCGGCGGUUGGGGAUGGACUCGCGGCUUAUCAGCUUGUUGGUGGGGUAGUGGCUUACCAAGGCUUUGACGGGUAGCCGGCCUGAGAGGGUGACCGGCCACAUUGGGACUGGGGUACGGCCCAGACUCCUACGGGGGGCAGCAGUGGGGAAUAUUGCACAAUGGGCCGAAGCCUGAUGCCACAACGCCGCGUGCGGGAUGACGGCCUUCGGGUUGUAAACCGCUUUCGCCUGUGACGAAGCGUGGGUGACGGUAAUGGGUAAAGGAGCACCGGCUAACUUCGUG
This 468-nucleotide ribosomal RNA is filed under the name uncultured bacterium. Its description in RNAcentral is "partial 16S ribosomal RNA". It matches the Rfam family "Bacterial small subunit ribosomal RNA", at positions 28 to 507 of the family's 1533-position model. The record is from RNAcentral.